UACGAGAGGUGCUAGCGUUAUUCGGAAUUAUUGGGCGUAAAGGGUGCGUAGGCGGCUUGUUAAGUUUGUUGUUAAAGACUUCGGCUCAACUGAAGAAAAGCAACGAAUACUGGCGAGCUAGAGGGUGAAAGAGAGAAGUGGAAUUCCCGGAGUAGCGGUAAAAUGCGUAGAUCUCGGGAGGAACACCAAUGGCGAAGGCUGCUUCUUGGUUCACUACUGACGCUGAGGCACGAAAGCGUGGGGAGCAAACAGG
Molecule: ribosomal RNA, 253 nt
Filed under: uncultured bacterium
Lineage: Bacteria
Description: partial 16S ribosomal RNA
Rfam family: Bacterial small subunit ribosomal RNA
Source: RNAcentral